RNAcentral lists this transfer RNA (72 nucleotides) under Usnea subgracilis. Its description in RNAcentral is "tRNA-Lys". It matches the Rfam family "tRNA". Rfam says of the family: Transfer RNA (tRNA) molecules are approximately 80 nucleotides in length. Their secondary structure includes four short double-helical elements and three loops (D, anti-codon, and T loops). The record is from RNAcentral. Lineage: Eukaryota; Fungi; Ascomycota; Lecanoromycetes; Lecanorales; Parmeliaceae.
GAGACCUUAGUUUAACGGAAAAAUAUGUGACUUUUGAUCAUCAUCAUACGGGUUCAAAUCCCGUAGGUCUUA